Molecule: non-coding RNA, 548 nt
Organism: Doryrhamphus excisus (bluestripe pipefish)
Lineage: Eukaryota; Metazoa; Chordata; Actinopteri; Syngnathiformes; Syngnathidae
Source: RefSeq, a predicted model, not a curated record
GGAAGUCUGAAGGCCAACUUCAGCAAGUUGUACCCGACAUAAAGAAAGAGAAUUCACAAGUGAGGAUUCUCAUCGAGAUGCCCGAAAUGCGAGCAGAAGUGUUGCGGCUUCUAUCACAGAUGUUGAUGCUUCCCCAGGCCAACGCUGUACGAUGAUGACAUAUUUGACAAAGGAGCUGAUGAAGCAAUACUUUAUACGACCUUAUCGAUGGAUUUCUCAGCAACCAGCAGCCACUUGGGGUCGGCCGGGGGUGUUGACAGGAGUGUGAAGUACAUCCCAUCUCGUAGAUUGACGCUAUGGAUACAUUAUGGCAUCGGAAGUUGGAUUCAUCAGAAAAACAAUGACUUCAGGAGUUCAAUCCCUGCAUCGUUUGCCAAUAGUCGUCAGUCCGUGAUGUUUUUCCUAGAAUAAAAUGGCUUUUUUCCUGCCCUUCGUGUUCACUACCAUCACUACCAUGAUGUCAGCUGGUCCUUUCGUGGCAGGGCUGAAAUGCAGUGGAAAUAGCGUUCAUUUUAAUGACAUUUAUUACGCUUUAUAACAUUCUGGAA